This 460-nucleotide ribosomal RNA is filed under the name uncultured bacterium. RNAcentral's name for it is "partial 16S ribosomal RNA". It matches the Rfam family "Bacterial small subunit ribosomal RNA", at positions 338 to 795 of the family's 1533-position model. The record is from RNAcentral.
CCUACGGGUGGCAGCAGUGAGGAAUAUUGGUCAAUGGGCGGAAGCCUGAACCAGCCAAGUAGCGUGCAGGAUGACGGCCCUACGGGUUGUAAACUGCUGUUAUACGGGAAUAACGCGCCUUACGUGUAGGGCUUUGCAUGUACCGUAUGAAUAAGAACCGGCCAAUUCCGUGCAAGCAGCCGAGGUAAUACGGAAGGUACGGGCGUUAUCCGGAGUUAUUGGGUGUAAAGGGGGGGUAGGCCGGAUGUCAAGCGUGCUGUGAAAUGUCCGGGCUCAACCCGGGCCCUGCAGCGCGAACUGGCGUGCUUGAGUCCGCGGAAGGCAGGCGGAAUUCGUCGUGUAGCGGUGAAAUGCUUAGAUAUGACGAAGAACCCCGAUUGCGAAGGCAGCUUGCUGCAGCGGAACUGACGCUGAUGCUCGAAAGCGCGGGUAUCGAACAGGAUUAGAUACCCGAGUAGUC